GACGAACGCUGGCGGCGUGCCUAAUACAUGCAAGUAGGACGCAGUUGCGAACGGGAGAGUAACGCGUAGGUAACUACCUAUUAGAGGGGGAUAACUAUUGGAAACGCUAGCUAAUACCGCAUACUAGUAGAUGGACCUUCGUUGUAUUAGCUAGUAGGUAGGGUAAUGGCCUACCCAGGCAACGAUACAUAGCCGAGCUGGGUGGGUUAACGGCCAAACUGGGACUGAGAAACGGCCCAGACUCCCACGGGAGGCAGCAGUAGGGAAUCUUCGGCAAUUGGGGGAACCCUGACCGAGCAACGCCGCGUGGGUGAAGAAGGGUUUCGGAUCGUAAAGCUCUGUUGUGAAGGAAGCGGUACUUACCCAGAAAGGGACGGCUAACUACGUGCCAGCAGCCGCGGUAAUAC
RNAcentral lists this ribosomal RNA (407 nucleotides) under uncultured bacterium. RNAcentral's name for it is "partial 16S ribosomal RNA". It matches the Rfam family "Bacterial small subunit ribosomal RNA", at positions 28 to 526 of the family's 1533-position model. The record is from RNAcentral.